Molecule: transfer RNA, 72 nt
Filed under: Myotis lucifugus (little brown bat)
Lineage: Eukaryota; Metazoa; Chordata; Mammalia; Chiroptera; Vespertilionidae
Rfam family: tRNA
About the family: Transfer RNA (tRNA) molecules are approximately 80 nucleotides in length. Their secondary structure includes four short double-helical elements and three loops (D, anti-codon, and T loops). Further hydrogen bonds mediate the characteristic L-shaped molecular structure. tRNAs have two regions of fundamental functional importance: the anti-codon, which is responsible for specific mRNA codon recognition, and the 3' end, to which the tRNAs corresponding amino acid is attached (by aminoacyl-tRNA synthetases). tRNAs cope with the degeneracy of the genetic code in two manners: having more than one tRNA (with a specific anti-codon) for a particular amino acid; and 'wobble' base-pairing, i.e. permitting non-standard base-pairing at the 3rd anti-codon position.
Source: Rfam by way of RNAcentral
GCCAGUGUGGCUCAGUGAUAGAGCAUUGGCCUGCGGACUCAAGAGUCCCUGGUUCAAUUCCAGUCAAGGGCA